This 416-nucleotide ribosomal RNA is filed under the name uncultured bacterium. Its description in RNAcentral is "bacterial SSU rRNA". It matches the Rfam family "Bacterial small subunit ribosomal RNA", at positions 28 to 431 of the family's 1533-position model. The record is from RNAcentral.
GACGAACGCUGGCGGCGUGCUUAACACAUGCAAGUCGAGCGAGGCCUGGGGGGCAACUCCCAGAGUCGAGCGGCGGACGGGUGAGUAACACGUGGGUAACCUGCCCGGAAGUGGGGAAUACCUCGGGGAAACUCGAGCUAAUACCGCAUGACAUCUCCGGGACGAAAGUCCUGGCGAUCAAAGCGGGGUCGCAAGAUCUCGCGCUACCGGAUGGGCCCGCGCCCGAUUAGCUAGUUGGUGAGGUAACGGCUCACCAAGGCUUCGAUCGGUAACCGGCCUGAGAGGGCGAUCGGUCACACCGGAACUGAGACACGGUCCGGACUCCUACGGGAGGCAGCAGUGGGGAAUCUUGCGCAAUGGGCGAAAGCCUGACGCAGCAACGCCGCGUGGAGGAUGAAGGCCCUGGGUUGUAAACU